RNAcentral lists this ribosomal RNA (467 nucleotides) under uncultured bacterium. RNAcentral's name for it is "partial 16S ribosomal RNA". The record is from RNAcentral.
GACUACUAGGGUAUCUAAGCCUGUUUGCUCCCCACGCUUUCGCGCCUCAGCGUCAGUAUUGCGCCAGUGUGCUGCCUUCGCCAUCGGUGUUCUUCCUGAUAUCUACGCAUUCCACCGCUACACCAGGAAUUCCGCACACCUCUCACAUACUCAAGCCAGGCAGUAUCGAACGCAGUUCCACGGUUGAGCCGUGGGAUUUCACAUUCGACUGACCAGGCCGCCUACACGCCCUUUACGCCCAAUAAUUCCGGACAACGCUUGCUCCCCCCGUAUUACCGCGGCUGCUGGCACGGAGUUAGCCGGAGCUUCCUCUGGAGAUAACGUCAGACCAGGGUGGUAUUGGCACCCCGGCGAUUCUUCUCUCCUGACAGAGUUUUACAACCCGUAGGGCCUUCAUCACUCACGCGGCGUCGCUCCAUCAGACUUUCGUCCAUUGUGGAAGAUUCUCGACUGCAGCCCCCCGUAGG